RNAcentral lists this ribosomal RNA (500 nucleotides) under uncultured bacterium. RNAcentral describes it as "partial 16S ribosomal RNA". It matches the Rfam family "Bacterial small subunit ribosomal RNA", at positions 30 to 523 of the family's 1533-position model. The record is from RNAcentral.
AUUGAACGCUGGCGGAAUGCUUUACACAUGCAAGUCGAACGGCAGCUCGGACUUCGGUCUGGUGGCGAGUGGCGAACGGGUGAGUAAUGUAUCGGAACGUGCCCAGUCGUGGGGGAUAACGUAGUGAAAAUUACGCUAAUACCGCAUACGAUCUAUGGAUGAAAGCGGGGGAUCGCAAGACCUCGCGCGAUUGGAGCAGCCGAUAUCAGAUCAGGUAGUUGGUGGGGUAAAGGCCCACCAAGCCAACGAUCUGUAGCUGGUCUGAGAGGACGACCAGCCACACUGGAACUGAGACACGGUCCAGACUCCUACGGGAGGCAGCAGUGGGGAAUUUUGGACAAUGGGCGAAAGCCUGAUCCAGCCAUUCCGCGUGCAGGAUGAAGGCCCUCGGGUUGUAAACUGCUUUUGUACAGAACGAAAAGGUUUCUACUAAUACUAGGAGCUCAUGACGGUACUGUAAGAAUAAGCACCGGCUAACUACGUGCCAGCAGCCGCGGUAA